CACGCCGUAAACGAUGGGUGCUAGGUGUAGGAGGUAUCGACCCCUUCUGUGCCGUAGUUAACACAAUAAGCACCCCGCCUGGGGAGUACGGCCGCAAGGUUGAAACUCAAAGGAAUUGACGGGGGCCCGCACAAGCGGUGGAGCAUGUGGUUUAAUUCGACGCAACGCGAAGAACCUUACCAGGGUUUGACAUCCCCUGACAGCCAUUGAAAGGUGGUUUUCUAUCUUCGGAUAGACAGGGAGACAGGUGG
This 251-nucleotide ribosomal RNA is filed under the name uncultured Pelotomaculum sp. RNAcentral describes it as "partial 16S ribosomal RNA". It matches the Rfam family "Bacterial small subunit ribosomal RNA", at positions 796 to 1041 of the family's 1533-position model. Lineage: Bacteria; Bacillati; Bacillota; Clostridia; Eubacteriales; Desulfotomaculaceae. The record is from RNAcentral.